GGAGACACCGGUAAUGUGUGGGGUUACAAAUAGAGGGAUAGAGCUAGCUACUGUGCAGCGUCCCUAUCUACAGCUAUAUGGAGGAAAAGUUCCACUGGAGAUUGCAGGAGCUCCUGUCUCUGCAGGAUGGGCCUAUAUCAGAGGAGGCCAUGAUGGACUACCGGGAGGCGGCCAGAAAGGAACUUUGGGAUGAAGCCCUGGUGGGAGCCCUCACCCAAUUGUCUCUGCCACCCCCCAAAUCCUUAAUGUGUCUCUCCCACCCUUCACCUAUAUGUCU
Pelobates cultripes (western spadefoot toad) is the source of this 277-nucleotide non-coding RNA. NCBI's taxonomy places the organism in Eukaryota, Metazoa, Chordata, Amphibia, Anura, Pelobatidae. The record is from the annotation of a GenBank genome assembly.